Long non-coding RNA from Triticum aestivum (bread wheat), 3087 nucleotides. RefSeq lists it as uncharacterized. NCBI's taxonomy places the organism in Eukaryota, Viridiplantae, Streptophyta, Magnoliopsida, Poales, Poaceae. The transcript is spliced from 4 exons. The record is from RefSeq and is a predicted model, not a curated record.
UAGAAGAGCUGGGCCGUCGGAUAAAAAAAAUAGGAGCUGUAGCAAAGGAUAGUUACUCCGUGCCCCGCCGUGGGCGUUUUCGUCUUUUCACGUGUUGGCCCGUGACAUGUUGAUCUCUGGUUGGAUGAGACGAGGCAGAGUCACCAAUCCCGCGAUGGAAACCUAGCCGCCUCCUUUCCCCGUCUCAGCUCUCUCUCCCUCGCUUGAUCUCCUCUCCUCCCCUCCCCUCCCCUCCACUGCUCCGGCGGCGGCCAGAUCCACCGCAACAGAGCGCUCCCAACAACGACAACGAGCAGCAGCGGAGGGAGGACGAGGAGCACGAUGGCGGCGGCGGCGGGGAGCAGCAGCAGCAGGCAAGGACGGCGCUGCCCUUCUCCGCCAUGUGCGUGCGGAUCUCCUGCAAUCCCUACCCCAACCUCCGCGCCCUCCGUCGUCGACGGGAGAAGCACAGGUCGCGGCUCACGCCGCUGUUCUGUCGGGGUCACCAUCGCCGAGCCGUCGACAUCGUGUUGUGCGUGCGCUCAGGGAUCUGGUUAGGCUUGUUAAUUUUAGCCUCGACAAGGUUCAGUUGCUGCGGAUUGGUGAGCUAUAAAAGGUACCUCGUGUGGCCUGGUUGAGGUACUAUGCUUGUCAUGGAUUGUUGCCUCACGUGUAUGCUUAACACAUCCUGGGUGUUCAGGAGAAGAGACGAGCACCUGCACCCCGUGGGCUGCUCCAAGGAGCACUAGAGGAUCUACGCCGACUGGUUCGCCAUCACCGACCCAGGUGCUUGUUUCGCAAACUUCACGGUUCCCACCACCAGCGCCCCCAAACCGAAGGAUUGGGAGGGGAUGGACGGCGCUUCACUAAUUCUCAAGUGGCCACGUCCCAAACUGUCCCUGCAAAUGGAGACAGGCGCGUCACGGGCGCCAAGGCUACCAAGUUCUUCGCCAUGUCUUGUAGGUUGUUAUCAGUCAUUGGUUGCCUAGAUCCAUCUUACGUGUGGUUGUGUGCAGUCUGCAAGUCCUUUUUUGCUCUUUGAGAGGCGCCACAUACUCAGGGCAUAGAAGGGCUCUUGCACCGGGAGGUAUCAUGGUCUGUAAGGCAAGCAUCAUGGUAUGUACUAUACUUCUCAUGAAAGCUCACAAUAUUAAUCAGUUUGUUGAAGCUAAACAACUAAGCACUUCAAAAUCAUCGAUGUGUAUCUUCGGUUCAUAGUUGUCAUGUUUGUUACUGCAAAAGUGAAAGCUACAAAUACAGGAGGUUCUUCUCACGUGAAAGAUUAGUCUCUCUUUUGAUUUAUUUUAAUUCCCAUUUAUGUAGAAACCUAAUAAUGUACUGAGUUGAAGAGUUGUACUGCUCCUAUUAGUUUAUCAAGCAGUGGUGUGCAUUGGCAUGUAAGAUGCUUGAUUUAAGAUGGAUGAAGAACAUAUCAUUUACUUCAGCGGACAAAUAAACAAGUGGAAAGGCGGGCUUUUCUCCUAACUAUUAAACUAUCGCCAAAAGUUCAGUUUUGAUAUAUCAUCUACCGAACUAUCAUUUUCGUGCACCUAUGUUUGUUACCUCCGUUUCUAAACCAAGUGCAUCAGUGUGUUUAGUUGGGAUUAACAUUUUAUUCUGGUGCUUAAAAUGCGUCUGUUUUGGUUCAGUUCUACCAUUAUAGACAUGAUUGAUUUUAUUAAUACACCCUCUUUAUGGCAUGCACAGUUCAUUCGAUUUGGAUGACAAAAAAAUAUGAGAACGAAAAUAUGCUUCCAAACAAUGAUUCAGAUCCUAAACAGGUGCAUGUACAUACUUUAUUUGUUAGAACCAAAUUGCAUAAAAUCUUAUUGCGUGCACUAGCAAGCAGUUUUUUGAGUCUUUCAAAACAUUUGUCGAUGUACUUAAUCUACUGUAUUAGGUUGUUCAAGCAAUCUAGGAUGUCGACGAGGCAACAACUCAUGCAUUACAGAGGGUGAGUGGCUAUGGCUUCAAGUUUCCUUUACUUUGGGGGCUAAUCAUCUGAUCUAAUGAAUUACUUAUUAACCUUGCAUUUCCAUUUCUUACUGUUGUGUGCAGUCUAUAUUUGAGAGGUUUUUAUCCAUGACCAAAGUGGUAAAAUUGAUAAAUCGGAGCCGUGUGAUGCUCUUCUCAGUCCGGGUUAUUCAGUUUCUCCAACUGUGCUAGACUUGCUCGUGUCUAAAUUCGACAGGAUUGCGGACAUGAGCAAAGCAGUCGAAUAUGAUAACUUUAUUGAGUGAAAUUACUCCUUGAAUUUAAUUUGGCUAACUAUUUCAGAUGCACUUGCAGCACUCAUACAUAUUAUUAUGUUAGAAAUUAAGUUGGAGAUCAUAUGCGUCGAGGCUUGAUCAGUUACAAGAGAACUUCUAUUUUAUUUCCACUCAUAUUAGUUUACUGGUCUUAGUUGAGGUGUUAAAUGAUGUAAAUUAGAACUGUGAUGAAAUCAAUCAAUGAUAUAAGUAUGCACCAGUUAAAUUAAUUCAUUGAAGAAAUUAUUGCCGAAAUUUAAUCAGGGCAUAGCUUAGCAACAUUACUACGAUCAGGGGCGGAUCCAGCAUGGCCUUGUACAAAUUUGCUGCAAGUUACUGCCCUGUUGGUUGAAUGGCCUACACCAUAUUGAUAAAUUAUCAUCUAAUUACCUGUAUGUGCCUUGAAUUACCUUUUUUGGCCAUACAAUUUUUGAAGGUUCAAAUAUUUGGAAACCACAUCUCAUUUGCAUUGGAACUGCGGGAUUCUUUGACUGAUCCUGACCAAGUCUGCAUGCCAUCAGUUACAGAAUAUUGGAAACCACUUGCUGAAGAUGCAAGCACUUUAGUUUUUCUUCCAUUUUUAUUUUACACCUCGGAUUCGUUCAUCCUUUUGUUUUAUGUUCAUCAACUGCACAUCUGGAUUUCUCUUGUAGUAAAACACCAUCGAAGCAAACAUGAUCCUCAUUGCAUUGAGGACAAGGAUAGCGGGCUAUGGCUCCUUUUCCCUUUAAUGGCUAUUUUUUAAUAGAUAGUUGUUGUUGAUUUAAGCUCCAGAGAUCCUCAUAUCCUUGUUUGGUUGAGAGAAGGUGGUCUACAAAUUGGUACGGAUGUUAUAGAUUUUUUUCCAUUUCUGCGGAAA